This is a long non-coding RNA of Panthera uncia (snow leopard), 1356 nucleotides long. RefSeq lists it as uncharacterized. The transcript is spliced from 3 exons. NCBI's taxonomy places the organism in Eukaryota, Metazoa, Chordata, Mammalia, Carnivora, Felidae. The record is from RefSeq and is a predicted model, not a curated record.
UUUCAGGCGCGUCACAAUGGCGCCCUCGCGGCCCCGCCCCCGGAGCCAGCCACUGAGGGCCUGCCCCGCCGCGCUAAGUCCUUCCCGCUCCAUCUUCCUGGGGAAGAAGGUGGGGUUUGGCGAGAAUAUGGAAGCGGAGCGGGGGCGCGGGCUCCCGGUGCUGGUGCUCCCGGGUGCUGGGGGUGCAGGGUGGAGCGGAGACCCGGCAAGCCCAGAACAGCGGGGCUGCCGGAAGCGCUGCGUGUGCCCGAAGGGCGGGGGGGGGGGCGCUACCGCGCGCCAGACCCCACCCUUCGGAGGCCCCGCCAGGGGAGCAAUGCCAGGGGUUUCCAUGGUGAUAAUAAACAAGCGCCAACUGCCUUAGCUACAGAUGCCUAGUCCCCAGUGUUCCAUCCUCCCCUGGGUGCUCAGAGGGACGACCAAGGUGCGGAAUGUGAAGAAGAGCGAGAGCGUGGAGACUCGGAGUCCGAUUAAUCUCUAUACCCAACGCGGGGCUUAAACUCAUGACCCCAAGAUCAAGAGCCGCAUGCCCUUCCAGCUGAGCCAGCCAGGUGCCCCCUAAUCUUUUCUUCUAAGCCCCUCUGGCUUCCUUGCUGUCUCCAGAUCACACCAGUCAUGCUUACAAUGAUCUGAUCGCAGAUGCCAACACGCUUCACUCCCCUGCCUCCUUCAGAGUUCUACCCAAAUGCGACUUCAUCACAUGGGCUUUCCUCUGAGUCCUACGUAAAAGGCUCCGCCACUCACCACACAUCAAUCUUCAUCCCUCUGCUUUAUUUUGCAUCACUACCACACGGCAUAUUUAUUGUUGAUUUUCUGUCCAUUAAAAUGGAAGCUCUAUGAGAGCAGAAAGUUUGUCUUGUUUAUUGCUUCAUCCCCAGAAGCUACAGUGUUUGGAUGUAAAUGAGUGAAUAGAUUGGGCCGGGAGCAGAGUAACUGUGUUCCAAUCCUUUCUCACCGUGGUAAUAUGGACACGUCUGUCAAUCAUUCUUGCAUUUCGGUUUUCCCAUUCACAAGUAAGGGAUGAUUACUCUUCUCUCAGCCUAGAUGAGAGGAUUAAUGGAAGAAGGGGCGACUAUUGUUUAUAAGCAUCUUCUACUGGGCAUGCAUUGCUGCAACUGAUUUGCAUAUAUUGUUUUUAAACCCCAGGUCAGCCUGAUAAAAUGGAUAUUAGUGUUCGCAUUUUACAGAUUAAGAAACUGAGACUCAAAGAGUUAGUGGCUUGUGAAAUCCAAAGUGAAGAAAGUAUGUGAAAUAAAUAUUAGAAGUAUGACACUGCAAUAAAAAAUGUGAAGUAUCUUGGUAAUUUUUAUAUUGGUUAUAUAUUGGAAUAAUAUUUUGAAUAUUAAAAAAAUAAAA